This 433-nucleotide ribosomal RNA is filed under the name uncultured bacterium. RNAcentral's name for it is "partial 16S ribosomal RNA". It matches the Rfam family "Bacterial small subunit ribosomal RNA", at positions 29 to 507 of the family's 1533-position model. The record is from RNAcentral.
AACGAACGCUGGCGGCAUGCCUAACACAUGCAAGUCGAACGAGACCUUCGUGUCUAGUGGCGCACGGGUGCGUAACGCGUGGGAACCUGCCCUUAGGUUCGGAAUAACUCCCCGAAAGGGGUGCUAAUACCGGAUAAUGUCUUCGGACCAAAGAUUUAUCGCCUUUGGAUGGGCCCGCGUUGGAUUAGCUAGUUGGUAGGGUAAAAGCCUACCAAGGCGACGAUCCAUAGCUGGUCUGAGAGGAUGAUCAGCCACACUGGGACUGAGACACGGCCCAGACUCCUACGGGAGGCAGCAGUGGGGAAUAUUGGACAAUGGGCGAAAGCCUGAUACAGCAAUGCCGCGUGAGUGAUGAAGGCCUUAGGGUUGUAAAGCUCUUUUACCCGGGAUGAUAAUGACAGUACCGGGAGAAUAAGCUCCGGCUAACUCCGUG